CAUGUUUCCAAGAAUUCCUGCCUAGAACGAUUCCACAAUAAAAUGUCAUUUGUCAACUAUCCAGAAUAAUUUUUAGGACUCACAACAAAAAUACAUAGGAAUUUUAUAUUCCUGUAUUCACAUUCCCAAGUGUCAUUGUUCAUAGUCGGCAUUAUUGUUUAGUGUCAAACCCUUAAAAUUUACACCUGGAAGGGAAGGACAGAUGUCUCAACUAAAAGAAAUUGAGCAUUUUAUAGAAUUUUCCAAUACUUCAGCUCAUCUCAUUUUUUUUCUCUAAAGUUGUAUCUCUCUAAAACUCAAACCUCUUCUUUUCUCCUCCUUCUCUCUAGAAAUUCUUCAUCUCCUUUCAUCUUUUCUUCAACCAGCCACAGUCUAAGAAAUUUUGGGAGUCAAGAGUUUCUUUUCCACCAAUCAAAAAUCAAGCUUAGAGUUGGUAAGUUCAUCCUCUUUUUAGAAAUUCUAUUUUCGGGCACAUGCAAGCCAAGUUUCUGGUUGCAUGUGUUCAUCCGCUUCUUCUUCUUAGUUCUGAUCACUUUUCUAGUAAUUUGGGUUGGUCUUUCCUCACCAAUCGGUGAAAUAUAGGUGUUCUUGGGAUUUUCUAGGGAGGAAGCAAAGUCUGGAAAAGAAUAAUCGUUGUUCGGUUCGGUCAAGAGGAAAAAUGUUGAUGAGGUACAGGAAGAAACAGCCCCAAUGCUAUUGCCAACUUGGUUGACUCAUGGACUUCAUUCACUUCCUAGCACCAUUGUCAAACUUGUGGUUGAUCAUUUGAUUAGUAGUGUUGUAAAACUGAUUGAACUGUUUUGCAUUAUCUUUGUGAUCAUCUUCAUCACAUUUGAUGAUAUAAUAGUCAU
RNAcentral lists this small RNA (851 nucleotides) under Vigna angularis var. angularis. RNAcentral describes it as "Non-protein coding transcript". Lineage: Eukaryota; Viridiplantae; Streptophyta; Magnoliopsida; Fabales; Fabaceae. The record is from RNAcentral.